GGCGAACGGGUGAGGAACACGUGAGGAAUCUGCCUUCAACUCUGGGAUAACUCCGGGAAACCGGGGCUAAUACCGGAUACGAGACCUGCAGGCAUCUGCGGGUCUGGAAAGUUUUUCGGUUGAAGAUGACUUCGCGGCCUAUCAGCUUGUUGGUGAGGUAACGGCUCACCAAGGCGACGACGGGUAGCCGGCCUGAGAGGGCGACCGGCCACACUGGGACUGAGACACGGCCCAGACUCCUACGGGAGGCAGCAGUGGGGAAUAUUGGGCAAUGGAGGAAACUCUGACCCAGCGACGCCGCGUGAGGGAUGAAGGCCUUCGGGUUGUAAACCUCUUUCAGUAGGGAAGAAGCGAAAGUGACGGUACCUACAGAAGAAGCACCGGCUAACUAUGUGCCAGCAGCCGCGGUAAUACAUAGGGUGCAAGCGUUGUCCGGAAUUAUUGGGCGUAAAGAGCUCGUAGGUGGUUCGAUACGUCGGAUGUGAAAAUCAGGGGCUCAACCCCUGACCUGCAUUCGAUACGGUCGAGCUAGAGUUUGGUAGGGGAGACUGGAAUUCCUGGUGUAGCGGUGGAAUGCGCAGAUAUCAGGAGGAACACCGAUGGCGAAGGCAGGUCUCUGGGCCAAUACUGACACUGAGGAGCGAAAGUGUGGGGAGCGAACAGGAUUAGAUACCCUGGUAGUCCACGCCGU
Molecule: ribosomal RNA, 691 nt
Filed under: uncultured Intrasporangiaceae bacterium
Lineage: Bacteria; Bacillati; Actinomycetota; Actinomycetes; Micrococcales; Intrasporangiaceae
Description: bacterial SSU rRNA
Rfam family: Bacterial small subunit ribosomal RNA
Source: RNAcentral